AUAAUAAGACAAGAGGCUUUUUGAAAAUGUCUUAAAAUGUAUGUGAGAUACAUUUUAAUCCAAUGGUCUAAAUUGUCUCAUCUCAACUUCAAUGGUUGAGAUGUCUUUAUUUCCCUCUCUCUCCAUCAAUGGUUGAUGAGGAAGAGAUUUAAGCAUCAACGGCUUUAUUUCCCUCUGAUGGUCUGAAAAUAUCUCUCUCCCCCCUCUCCAUCACAGGUAUUCAUCUCCUCUCUCUCUCUCUCUCUCAUUUCAAUUUUUGAACUCUCUCUCUCUACCUUCAUCGGAGCCCAUCCCGUGCGACGCCGACGACCACCGACACCACCGACCACCUCUUCUCCUGUCACCCUCCUCUUUCGUCUCUCUCCCCUUGCAAGGUUCGCAAGGGAAGGAUAAGAGGGUUCUUUUUGAUAACAAUGACUUGGUUUUGCAUGAAGGAUUUCUAGAGAUCAAUUCAUUUGCCCACUCAUUUAGGGACUAUGAUGCAAAGAGUGAAAGACAAUAAACUGUUGAGGAAUUCUAUCGGGUGAACCACAUUAACCAAACAUAUGAUUUUGUUCACAAGGGGAGGAUAAGAGGGUUCUUUUUGAUAACAAUGACUUGGUUUUGCAUGAAGGAUUUCCAAUUCCAAAAUCUGUGCAAGAUACUGGGUUUGAUGCCCCAGAGAUCAAUUCAUUUGGCCACUAAUUUAGGGACUAUGAUGCAAAGAGUGAAAGACAACAAACUGUUGAGGAAUUCUAUCGAGUGAACCACAUUAACCAAACAUAUGAUUUUUGGCUUCAAGACCCAUCGUUCAACACCAAAACAGAGGUAUUUUACAUUGUCUCUUGAAUUUCCCUUUUUCUGCUCUUGAUCGCUAUUGUUGGUUAAUUAUGUUUUUUGAAUUCUGAAUCCUGACGGAUUUGUUGUUUGUAUUUGUUGGUUGAUAAUAUUUUGUAUUACUUCUAAGAUUUCAUGUACAGCACACAGUGCUUCCCUUUCUAUUUGACAUUUAACUUUAUAGAGAUAUGUCGAAUUUUGGAGUUAAUAAUAAUGUAUUUUGGAGUUGAGUC
Molecule: long non-coding RNA, 1049 nt
Organism: Camellia sinensis
Lineage: Eukaryota; Viridiplantae; Streptophyta; Magnoliopsida; Ericales; Theaceae
Source: RefSeq, a predicted model, not a curated record